RNAcentral lists this ribosomal RNA (494 nucleotides) under uncultured bacterium. Its description in RNAcentral is "partial 16S ribosomal RNA". It matches the Rfam family "Bacterial small subunit ribosomal RNA", at positions 28 to 507 of the family's 1533-position model. The record is from RNAcentral.
GACGAACGCUGGCGGCGUGCUUAACACAUGCAAGUCGAACGGAAAGGCCUGCUUUCCCUUGUGGAUUGCGGGUACUCGAGUGGCGAACGGGUGAGUAACACGUGAGUGAUCUGCCCCCAACUUGGGUAUAAGCCUGGGAAACUGGGUCUAAUUCCCGAUAGGACCGCAGGGUGGUGCCUGUGGUGGCAAACGAUUUUCUAGUGGUUGGGGAUGAGCCCGCGGCCUAUCAGCUUGGUGGUGGGGUAAUGGCCUACCAAGGCGGCGACGGGUAGCCGGCCUGAGAGGGGGGACAGCGGCAUUGAGACUGGGAUACGGCCCAGACUGCUACGAGAAGAAGCAGUGGGGCAUAUUGCAGAAUGGGCGGAAGCCUGCAGCAGCGACGCCGAGAGGGGGAUGACGGCCUUCGGAUUGUAGACUCCUUUCGACCGCGAGGAAGCCACCUGGUUGGAAGGGUGGUGACGGUAGUGGUAGAAGAAGCACCGGCUAACUACGUG